This 484-nucleotide ribosomal RNA is filed under the name uncultured bacterium. Its description in RNAcentral is "partial 16S ribosomal RNA". It matches the Rfam family "Bacterial small subunit ribosomal RNA", at positions 30 to 507 of the family's 1533-position model. The record is from RNAcentral.
AUUGAACGCUGGCGGCAGGCCUAACACAUGCAAGUCGAGCGGAUGAAGGGAGCUUGCUCCUGGAUUCAGCGGCGGACGGGUGAGUAAUGCCUAGGAAUCUGCCUGGUAGUGGGGGAUAACGUCCGGAAACGGGCGCUAAUACCGCAUACGUCCUGAGGGAGCAAGUGGGGGAUCUUCGGACCUCACGCUAUCAGAUGAGCCUAGGUCGGAGUAGCUAGUUGGUGGGGUAAAGGCCUACCAAGGCGACGAUCCGUAACUGGUCUGAGAGGAUGAUCAGUCACACUGGAACUGAGACACGGUCCAGACUCCUACGGGAGGCAGCAGUGGGGAAUAUUGGACAAUGGGCGAAAGCCUGAUCCAGCCAUGCCGCGUGUGUGAAGAAGGUCUUCGGAUUGUAAAGCACUUUAAGUUGGGAGGAAGGGCAGUAAGUUAAUACCUUGCUGUUUUGACGUUACCAACAGAAUAAGCACCGGCUAACUUCGUG